Molecule: ribosomal RNA, 253 nt
Filed under: uncultured bacterium
Lineage: Bacteria
Description: partial 16S ribosomal RNA
Rfam family: Bacterial small subunit ribosomal RNA
Source: RNAcentral
UUUCUUUGCUGGCGACCGGCGCACGGGUGAGUAACACGUAUCCAACCUGCCCUUUACUCGGGGAUAGCCUUUCGAAAGAAAGAUUAAUACCCGAUAGCAUAAUGAUUCCGCAUGGUUUGAUUAUUAAAGAAUUUCGGUUAUCGAUGGGGAUGCGUUCCAUUAGGCAGUUGGUGGGGUAACGGCCCACCAAACCUUCGAUGGAUAGGGGUUCUGAGAGGAAGGUCCCCCACAUUGGAACUGAGACACGGUCCAA